This 110-nucleotide microRNA precursor is filed under the name Loxodonta africana (African savanna elephant). Its description in RNAcentral is "microRNA 181a-2 (ENSLAFG00000024418.1)". The stretch from base 28 to 107 matches the Rfam family "mir-181 microRNA precursor family". Rfam says of the family: In this case the mature sequence comes from the 5' arm of the precursor. The extents of the hairpin precursors are not generally known and are estimated based on hairpin prediction. Lineage: Eukaryota; Metazoa; Chordata; Mammalia; Proboscidea; Elephantidae. The record is from RNAcentral.
AGGGAGGGCCAAGAUCCAGCCUUCAGAGGACUCCAAAGAACAUUCAACGCUGUCGGUGAGUUUGGGAUUUGAAAAAACCACUGACCGUUGACUGUACCUUGCGGUCCUUA